CUAAAUGCCGAAGUGUCUGACAAUGGUUCUCCAAAGUUAGUUGAAGUUGAAAAAGGUCUCAUGUUACUUCGAAAUUGUCAGAAAUGGGAAGCCAGAUAACUCCGUGGGAUUGCCUUUAAAAACAUUACAGAAAUCUCCAUUCUGCAAAUCUAAAGAUAAAACUUCAUUUUCUGGACAAGCUGAGCUCUCAUGCAAGAGUGCAAGCAGGUUCAGUCUCAGAAGGGCAGACUUAUAGUAACCGAACUCAUUUGUAAACUGAGCAACCAAGCCCAUUUUUAAGAUCCAGAACCACUGAAGAAACUCAAGCAGUGCUCUUGGCUCUUGGCUCUUAGCUGGUGCACUCUCCCUCUGGGGGCCUACAGGAGGUCCCAAUUAUCAUUAGUGGUUGCUUGGUAAGUUAAAAAAUCUGCAUGUUUUAUGCCCUUGAACUAUAAUCAGCUGGAUGCACCUAUCGCCUCAUAGGUCUACAUUCUGUUGGAACCACAGCAGCCAAGUGCUCAGUGCAGUCGCCCUUUCUCCUUGAUGUGCUGGAUGGUCAUUACCAUAGUCUUGUGGCUGGUUGACCAGCUGUGCUACGU
Long non-coding RNA from Homo sapiens (human), 578 nucleotides. RefSeq lists it as uncharacterized. The transcript has 3 exons. NCBI's taxonomy places the organism in Eukaryota, Metazoa, Chordata, Mammalia, Primates, Hominidae. The record is from RefSeq and is a predicted model, not a curated record.